CUUUCAGCUAGCGGCAGGCUACCAUGCAGUCGAGCGGAUGAGUGGAGCUUGCUCCAUGAUUCAGCGGCGGACGGGUGAGUAAUGCCUAGGAAUCUGCCUGGUAGUGGGGGAUAACGUUUCAAAAGGAACGCUAAUACCGCAUACGUCCUACGGGAGAAAGUGGGGGAUCUUCUGACCUCACGCUAUCAAAUGAGCCUAGGUCGGAUUAUCUAGUUGGUGGGGUAAUGGCCCACCAAGGCGACGAUCCGUAACUGGUCUGAGAGGAUGAGCAUCUCACUGGAACUGAGACACGGUCCAGACUCCUACGGGAGGCAACAGUGGGGAAAUUGGACAAUG
This 336-nucleotide ribosomal RNA is filed under the name Pseudomonas abietaniphila. RNAcentral describes it as "bacterial SSU rRNA". It matches the Rfam family "Bacterial small subunit ribosomal RNA", at positions 35 to 373 of the family's 1533-position model. The record is from RNAcentral. Lineage: Bacteria; Pseudomonadati; Pseudomonadota; Gammaproteobacteria; Pseudomonadales; Pseudomonadaceae.